CGGCGGACGGGUGAGUAACACGUGGGUAACCUACCUAUAAGACUGGGAUAACUUCGGGAAACCGGAGCUAAUACCGGAUAAUAUUUCGAACCGCAUGGUUCGAUAGUGAAAGAUGGCUUUGCUAUCACUUAUAGAUGGACCUGCGCCGUAUUAGCUAGUUGGUAAGGUAACGGCUUACCAAGGCAACGAUACGUAGCCGACCUGAGAGGGUGAUCGGCCACACUGGAACUGAGACACGGUCCAG
Molecule: ribosomal RNA, 244 nt
Filed under: uncultured Staphylococcus sp.
Lineage: Bacteria; Bacillati; Bacillota; Bacilli; Caryophanales; Staphylococcaceae
Description: partial 16S ribosomal RNA
Rfam family: Bacterial small subunit ribosomal RNA
Source: RNAcentral